UGUACCUUUUAAAAAAAAUUAUUAAUUCAAAGAGUAACUGACUAUAUACAUUCAGAAAAUAGUAGGCAACUGCUCUUUUGAUGUACUGUGGGUGAAGAGGUGGCCAGAUUUCUCAAGUACUUUUAAAAAGGUUUCUUCAUGUUUUCAAGGUCAGACUCGGAUGUGCACAGUGGGGCGGGGAGCUGCUGGCACGGUCGUGGUGGUGCGUUCCUAGCACUGGCUGUGCGUUGGUCUCCUUGGGUCUGCUCGCUCGGGUUGUUUCCGAGGCCCACCUCAAGUGCACUGAGUUGGAAUCCUCACAGACAGGGGGUCUCGGAGUUGGGUUUUAAGUGCUGAGAGCAGUGUUUGGGAACCCAGCACCCCAGCAGCUAGUUCUCAUGAUGAGAAUGGAGUCCGAACUCUUUCCUGGAACCUGCAGGGCCCCACGCUCUAUUCCCCACCCUCAUUCCUGACCUCUGCCUCCUGUUUGUACUGUCUUCCCUUCCUGUGGUGUCCUGCUGUUCCCACUGCCUGCAUGCUGUCCCUACAUGCUCUGGUCUUAGAUCAAAAGUCCUUUCCCCAGCAAGCUACUCGACAUCCCCAGUAUGAAGUUGCUCCUACCACCCUGUCAAUUUCCAUCCCAUCUCUCUGAUUCACUUUAUUCCGAGCACUUGCAGCUCACCGAAAUUACUGUGUUUUCUCUUUCCCCUCCAGAAUGUAAACCGCAGGGAGUAGAGCCUUGCCAGUCUUGGUCCCGCCUUGUUCUCCUAACAUGGCACCUGGUCCUCAGGGCUCAGAUGGUGCUUGUUUUGAGAUGAGCCUGCUUUGUGCACACUGAGUCCAAGACAGGGCGUGGCCAGUGCCUGAAAGGCAUCCGCUACCACGGCAGAGGUCGCUUUGGGAUCAUGGAGAAGGUUUAUUGCCAUUAUUUUGUGAAGCUGGUGGAAGGCCCCCCGCCUGCCCCGGAGCCUCGGAAGACGGCCAUGGAGCACGCGAAGGAGUACGUGCAGCAGCUGCGCAGUCGGACCAUCAUCCACACUCUGUAAGGGCCUCGGCCUCUCCAGGGUGUGUGCGCUGCCCUUUAUUUUUAAAAAUAAAAAAAGAUUUAA
RNA transcript from Octodon degus (degu), 1088 nucleotides. It is a transcript of the gene named mitochondrial ribosomal protein L22, with no coding region annotated. The transcript is spliced from 2 exons. The record is from RefSeq and is a predicted model, not a curated record. Lineage: Eukaryota; Metazoa; Chordata; Mammalia; Rodentia; Octodontidae.